RNAcentral lists this ribosomal RNA (460 nucleotides) under uncultured bacterium. Its description in RNAcentral is "SSU rRNA". It matches the Rfam family "Bacterial small subunit ribosomal RNA", at positions 26 to 518 of the family's 1533-position model. The record is from RNAcentral.
AGGACGAACGCUGGCGGCGUGCCUAACACAUGCAAGUCGAACGAGGUAGCAAUACCGAGUGGCGGACGGGUGAGUACAACAUAGGCAACCUGCCCAUCAAUGGGGGAUACCCAGCCGAAAGGUUGGCUAAUACCGCAUACGCUCCGAGGUUGGAAUACAUCGGAGGAAAGAUUUAUCGUUGAUGGGUGGGCCUGUGGUCGAUUAGCUAGUUGGUGGGGUAAAGGCCUACCAAGGCGACGAUCGAUAGCUGGUCUGAGAGGAUGAUCAGCCACACUGGGACUGAGACACGGCCCAGACUCCUACGGGAGGCAGCAGUGGGGAAUUUUCCGCAAUGGGCGAAAGCCUGACGGAGCGACGCCGCGUGGAGGAUGACGUAUUUCGGUAUGUAAACUCCUGUCAGGGGGGACGAUAAUGACGGUACCCCAAAGGAAGCAUCGGCUAACUACGCGCCAGCAGCCGC